UAUGCUUUAAUAUAGGAUGUAUAAUAAUUUUUGAAGUUAUUAGGGAUAGUUUAACUCUAUCAAGCAUAA
RNAcentral lists this transfer RNA (69 nucleotides) under Philopona vibex. RNAcentral describes it as "tRNA-Gln". Lineage: Eukaryota; Metazoa; Arthropoda; Insecta; Coleoptera; Chrysomelidae. The record is from RNAcentral.